Molecule: transfer RNA, 149 nt
Filed under: Streptomyces olivaceus
Lineage: Bacteria; Bacillati; Actinomycetota; Actinomycetes; Kitasatosporales; Streptomycetaceae
Description: tRNA-OTHER
Source: RNAcentral
GGAGGGGUGUCGCUCAAGCGGCGCCCCUCCGCUUCUCCCACCAUAUCGACCCGUACGCGGACGGCUAGCCGCGGGGACGUCCGAUCAGGACAAUCUUGAAAACCGUCGUGGCAGCGAUGCCACCGUGGGUUCAAAUCCCACCGCCUCCG